RNAcentral lists this unclassified non-coding RNA (191 nucleotides) under uncultured fungus. Its description in RNAcentral is "sequence contains ITS1". Lineage: Eukaryota; Fungi. The record is from RNAcentral.
UUAACUAUUAUAUAGUACUCAGACGACACUAACAUUCAGGGUUUGGGGGGUCUCUGGCGAGCGGGUCCGGCCGAAACCAGCGCCCGAGGGCGGCUCGCCAAAGCAACAAUGUACAAUUAGACACGGGUGGGAGGUCUACCCUUGCGGGCAUGAGCUCAGUAAUGAUCCUUCCGCAGGUUCACCUACGGAAA